CUCCACCUGGUUCUCUGUCUGGUGUUAGUGUGCUCCAUCCUGCCCCGGCAAAGGUUCUAAUUCCAUCUCUCCACCUGGUUCUCUGUCUAGUGUUAGUGUGCUCCAUCCUGCCCCGGUAAAGGUUCUAAUUCCAUCUCUCCACCUGGUUCUCUGUCUGGUGUUAGUGUGCUCCAUCCUGCCCCGGUAAAGGUUAUAAUUCCACCUCUCCACCUGGUUCGAAGUCUCAUAUCUAUGCACCCAACUAUGCCGGUGAAAAUGAUCAUAAAAAUAAACACGUUAACUAUAUAUGUAAAGAAAAUAA
Long non-coding RNA from Eriocheir sinensis (Chinese mitten crab), 301 nucleotides. RefSeq lists it as uncharacterized. Lineage: Eukaryota; Metazoa; Arthropoda; Malacostraca; Decapoda; Varunidae. The transcript is spliced from 3 exons. The record is from RefSeq and is a predicted model, not a curated record.